AUGUUUCAGUCUUCACGUCCCCCUCCUCACGUUCACCCCGCACCCGCCGGUCCCAGCCGACCCCGCAAACCCGUCCUGCCACGGCGCCGGCGGGGCCCGCGUCUACGUGACGGCGGCGGCGAGGCGGGGGCAGGGGUCCCGGUCUCCGUCAGAGCGGCACCGCACCGAGUUGGCGACCCCAGCCGCCCCGAGCGCAGAGACGCGACACCCGCCGCGGAGCCCGAGCCACGGCGGGGGGGGGGGAGGGGGGGCGGCGCAGCGGCGCGAGGACCCCGGCUCGGCGCCCGCUUACCUGCGGUGGCUCAGCUCCCAACCCGCAACGGCGCCCGCGGGCGGCCGACGGGAGGCGGUGGCUGGACGGCGACGAUGGAGUGUGGCUGGGUUGGGCUGGGACCCAGGAAACCGGCUUCCAGUCUCAGGAACCCCCUGUGGUUCUGCAGGAGGAACAAGGGCAACCACUUCCUCAUCUAAGUUCCUUCGGCCUCUUUCUCAUCAGCCAAGCUUUGCCCCAUCCUUAACCAAGGCCCUACGAAGACUAGAUAGUUUCACUGGCCUAAGCACACUAGGAAUUUUCCUCUUUUCUGUGCCUUUCACCUGGCUUCCAAGUGAAUAAAAAUUUAGAAAGACAAGAACUGGAAUUUCUG
This 644-nucleotide long non-coding RNA is filed under the name Felis catus (domestic cat). RNAcentral's name for it is "lncRNA (ENSFCAG00000050618.1)". Lineage: Eukaryota; Metazoa; Chordata; Mammalia; Carnivora; Felidae. The record is from RNAcentral.